UCUCCGUAGGUGAACCUGCGGAAGGAUCAUUAUAAAUGAAAAACGAAUAACUUCAGGGAAGAAGGGAACCUGCACGGUGACCUCCCCUGUCGGGCCACCCAAUACCUUCAAAAUGCCGCCGUCCUAGCGGUGGCAGACGAAAAAAAAACAAGAAAAACAAAAUAGAAACAGGCACGGUGGCCCGUUCACCUUCACACAACCCUCCGAGUACCGCUUCCAUGUUGCUUCCCCGCAAAUCCACCUCUUUGGUGAGCGCGGGGGAGGUCCGCAUCAAAUUCACCUGAAUGUCACAGCAGUCAGACAGCCAUUCAUGGAAACAAUAAAACUUUCAACAACGGAUCUCUUGGUUCCC
This 352-nucleotide unclassified non-coding RNA is filed under the name plant metagenome. Its description in RNAcentral is "partial contains small subunit ribosomal RNA, internal transcribed spacer 1, and 5.8S ribosomal RNA". The record is from RNAcentral.